AAUUCUCAAGACCUGUCUGCUUUUUUGAUAGGUAUUGGAUUUUGGGGGUUGCAGGCUGUUUCAAAUAAAUAGCCUUGCUCUCCUUGAAUGUAUUAGUGGAGAAAAGCCAUUGAACUCCAUUGGUGUGAUAAAACCUAUCAAUGCCAGGAGCAAUAUCACUACUUCUCUCUGCUGUCUAACUGUGACUGUCUGUAUUAAUUAGUAUGGAUGGGGACAACUUGACCA
Molecule: unclassified non-coding RNA, 225 nt
Filed under: uncultured Amanita
Lineage: Eukaryota; Fungi; Basidiomycota; Agaricomycetes; Agaricales; Amanitaceae
Description: sequence contains ITS2
Source: RNAcentral